AGUGACACAUGGACUAGCUAACCGUAGCCCAAUAGUUGAAUGAGUGUUUGAGAUCACAACAAAGAAUAUUAGUAUGAAAACACAAGUGUACAGAUUUUCCCACAGAUUAGGUAGUUGUCAUUAAUACCGGUAUUACUGAUGCAAUAAGUUCAGGGAAAGUCGACCUAAUAGUAGGUCUUACAUCAUACCAUACAGAAAAGUUUGACAGUUCCUAGAUUCCUAGUUAGAGUACUGAAAGUUAGGAAUAUUUUUUACAGACAAGUGCUACUUAGAGCAUAGAUAUUAAAGGCUAUUCCUUAAUCAAAAGACAAAGAUGUACUAGACAUCUUCUAACGGCGAUGGGAAUUCCUUGGGCGAACCCUGAGGUCUGUCACUUGACGAAACACCUCUUGAAGGUGUCGCUCCUGAGCCCUCUGACGGGCUCGAAGUUCCAUGACUUCGGCUAGGGAGGCAGCCAACUGUUGCUGCAGGGUCUCAUUGGUCCUCUUGGUCCGUUCCAUGUCUUCUUCAAGACGGCGGAUGCGGACUGUGUUGACACCAGAUGUGGCAUCAAUCUCCAUGACCCGGUCGAUGGCUGCUCAACCUUGCUCAACAUUACGAGCUAUUCUGCGGAUAAUGACGCACAGAGCUCGGUCAGCAGAACCACCUUCGCUGACGUUGUAAAAGCUUUGGUCCCCAAAGUAAAGUAAGGGUUGAACCUGUUCGUCACUCCAGCGAUUCAAGUUGGUUGCCAACAAGGGAGUGAGACCUAGAAAAGUUGGUCGGGGGUUGUUGUUUGGGGCUUGACCUACUGGCGGUAGGUUGUGACUUCAGGCUCAGAGUCAGAUCCAUCAGAAAAGCCUUCUGCGAGGUGAUCAUCCAAAGGGAUUGGAUGCUCAUCUUCGGGCUCUUCUUCGAUCCACCCAGCAUUGCCUUUGUUGGGAAAGUACGGGUCGCCAUGAUGGAAUCCAACCAUUUAAUCUACGCGAGAACAGAGGUAUAAGAAUCUAGUGUAUAAAUAGCGUGUAGUAGCACAAAAUACUCCUAUAGUAUCUUAAGUUUAGAAAUCUACGCGAGAACAGAGGUAUAAGAAUCUAGUGUAUAAAUAGCGUGUAGUAGCACAAAAUACUCCUAUAGUAUCUUAAGUUUAGAUUCUACUGAUCUCUUUGUGGUAUUGUUG
RNAcentral lists this long non-coding RNA (1159 nucleotides) under Lactuca sativa (garden lettuce). RNAcentral's name for it is "long non-coding RNA (LSAT_LNC007740)". Lineage: Eukaryota; Viridiplantae; Streptophyta; Magnoliopsida; Asterales; Asteraceae. The record is from RNAcentral.